This 483-nucleotide ribosomal RNA is filed under the name uncultured bacterium. RNAcentral describes it as "bacterial SSU rRNA". It matches the Rfam family "Bacterial small subunit ribosomal RNA", at positions 8 to 507 of the family's 1533-position model. The record is from RNAcentral.
AGAGUUUGACCUGGCUCAGAACGAACGCUGGCGGCAUGCCUAACACAUGCAAGUCGAACGGGAUCCUAGCUUGCUAGGUGAGAGUGGCGGACGGGUGAGUAACACGUGGGAAUCUGCCUUUGGUUCGGGAUAACCGCGGGAAACUGCGGCUAAUACCGAAUGCCCUCGAGAGAGGAAAGAUUUAUCGCCAGAAGAGGAGCCCGCGUCCGAUUAGGUAGUUGGUGGGGUAAAGGCCUACCAAGCCUAAGACGCCUAGCUGGUCUGAGAGGAUGAUCAGCCACACUGGAACUGAGACACGGUCCAGACUCCUACGGGAGGCAGCAGUGGGGAAUCUUGCGCAAUGGGCGAAAGCCUGACGCAGCGACGCCGCGUGAGUGAUGAAGGCCUUCGGGUUGUAAAGCUCUGUGGGGAGAGACGAAUAAGUGCGGGCUAAUACUCCGCAUGAUGACGGUAUCUCCUUAGCAAGCACCGGCUAACUCUGUG